Molecule: regulatory RNA element, 178 nt
Organism: Firmicutes bacterium CAG:114
Lineage: Bacteria; Bacillati; Bacillota
Source: Rfam
GAGUAUUUGUAGCAUACAGGUGCUUGCCUGCGGGCGAGUGAAAAGGGAAUACGGUGAGAAUCCGUAACGAUGCCGUCACUGUGUAUGGGAGCUGCUUUUCGUGCAAUCACUGGGAAACUGGGAAGAGAAAAGCCGCGAAGAACAAAGUCAGGAGACCUGCCUGUAUGUAGAAUCUCAA